RNAcentral lists this ribosomal RNA (406 nucleotides) under uncultured bacterium. RNAcentral describes it as "partial 16S ribosomal RNA". It matches the Rfam family "Bacterial small subunit ribosomal RNA", at positions 30 to 526 of the family's 1533-position model. The record is from RNAcentral.
AUUGAACGCUGGCGGCAGGCCUAACACAUGCAAGUCGAACGAGUGGCGGACGGGUGAGUAAUGUCUGGGAAACUGCCCGAUGGAGGGGGAUAACUACUGGAAACGGUAGCUAAUACCGCAUACCAUCGGAUGUGCCCAGAUGGGAUUAGCUAGUAGGUGGGGUAACGGCUCACCUAGGCGACGAUCCCUAGCUGGUCUGAGGGGAUGACCAGCCACCAUUGAACUGAGACACGGUCCAGACUCCUACUGGGGGCAGCAGUGGGGAAUAUUGCACAAUGGGCGCAAGCCUGAUGCAGCGAUGCUGCGUGUAUGAAGAAGGCUUUCGGGUUGUAAACCGCUUUCAGCCAUUACGCGUUAGUGGCAGAAGAAGCACCGGCUAACUACGUGCCAGCAGCCGCGGUAAUAC